UCUAACUCUUAAAUCGAAGUGCGGAAUGAUGAAUCCAUGUUUUCUGAAACGCACUCACUAAUACUCCUACGUGCAGUUCAUAAUGUUAGGUCUGGACUGUACGAAGCUAGGUGAAGUCGGUCGAAUGUUACCGUUAAUCAAACUGAUGCUUGAACGAAAAUCCACAUUUGGACGUAACAGAUAGACCGGGUGUCUAUAAA
Molecule: non-coding RNA, 200 nt
Organism: Bacillus sp. 2_A_57_CT2
Lineage: Bacteria; Bacillati; Bacillota; Bacilli; Caryophanales; Bacillaceae
Source: Rfam